UUCAACAAGAGGGGACACUCUUCAAAAACUGGCAACAGGAAACACGUCACGCCUAGUUUCAACAACAUCCGUUAGUUGACGCGAGCGUCAGAAAAAAAAAGAAUGUGAAAUAAACUUCCAGACAACGUUUUAUUUUUUUUAUUUCUUCCCACUAAAAGUGAAAAAGUUUUGCGUGUAAAUGAACCUAUACUUUGCAACUUUUUGUUGCGUUGCCUAGCAACAAGCUAGCGGCACGCCAGACUCGUGUGCAUACGUCAUGCGCCAGACAAGCCGCAGGAGUAAGCGAGGACGGCCGUACGUGCGAACCUCGCGUGCUCGGCGACCCGUCUGUUUUGGAUAUAGCCCAUUUUUUGGGGGCUCCCGGCCUUCUCUAUGCUCCUGUUGCGUAUCGUCUGCAUUUCGACACGGCACUACUGGACUACGGCAAGCUGAUGGCAUCCGGUGGAGCAUCGUACGGCAACGACUGCUGCUUACCUGGUACCACAACUUUGAAUGAAUGCAGAAGCCCGGAACGAGCAUUUAUAUAGAGCAAAAUAAACAUUUCAUCAUUUCAGAA
Molecule: long non-coding RNA, 556 nt
Filed under: Dermacentor andersoni
Lineage: Eukaryota; Metazoa; Arthropoda; Arachnida; Ixodida; Ixodidae
Description: uncharacterized LOC126535289
Source: RNAcentral